GGAAUUUGUUAACCUAUCUCCAAGGCUUCCGCCCACUCCAUCUUCCUACAGGCGGAUCGCUGGUCUCGCAUCACCUACAGCUCAACCCACAACCGAUGUCCCUAAUGGUGAUGGGACUUCUCAUAAUUAAAUUUCCUUCUAAUGCUUUUAGCCUAGUGGAUACUUAAGUGAAUGUAAAUAGCUAGCAUGUUCUUUGUGUCACUUCAGCCUUUCUGGAAUGCUAAUAACAUCAAUCUUAGUUGCAUCCGAUUGCGUUUCAUAAUUACUAGAUUGCUUUUUAAUCCACCCACUUGAAACAUCUGCCAUGGUUGUCAAGAAUCAAGAUUUUGGUGCUCAGGUAGACAAUGUGAUUUUACUCUAAAGUCAUAAUGUCAACUUCCUGCCUCAGUCACAUGUU
Molecule: unclassified non-coding RNA, 397 nt
Filed under: Hevea brasiliensis (rubber tree)
Lineage: Eukaryota; Viridiplantae; Streptophyta; Magnoliopsida; Malpighiales; Euphorbiaceae
Source: RNAcentral